Molecule: transfer RNA, 72 nt
Filed under: Bos taurus (domestic cattle)
Lineage: Eukaryota; Metazoa; Chordata; Mammalia; Artiodactyla; Bovidae
Also listed under: 5 other names
Rfam family: tRNA
About the family: Transfer RNA (tRNA) molecules are approximately 80 nucleotides in length. Their secondary structure includes four short double-helical elements and three loops (D, anti-codon, and T loops). Further hydrogen bonds mediate the characteristic L-shaped molecular structure. tRNAs have two regions of fundamental functional importance: the anti-codon, which is responsible for specific mRNA codon recognition, and the 3' end, to which the tRNAs corresponding amino acid is attached (by aminoacyl-tRNA synthetases). tRNAs cope with the degeneracy of the genetic code in two manners: having more than one tRNA (with a specific anti-codon) for a particular amino acid; and 'wobble' base-pairing, i.e. permitting non-standard base-pairing at the 3rd anti-codon position.
Source: Rfam by way of RNAcentral
UCCCUGGUGGCUCAGACGGUAAAGCGUCUGCCUAUCAUGCAGGAGACCUGGGUUCAAUCCCUGGUUGGGAAG